CCCAUAAAUAAAUCGGAAGUAUAUGUAUUUGAUCUCUACACUUUACAUGGUCGCGUAUCCUUGAAUCAGGAGAUGAAUUACACGAACACAUCCACACAAUCAACAACGGAAGCAACAAAUCCCAAAACAAACAGUAAACCCUUUGUGCUAUGCAUUCUAGCAGAAGAGGUAGCCGAAAGCAGCUGCCGCGACCGAUACGGCGGCGAAGGCUGGCGCUGCGGCGGUGGCGCCGGACGUGGGCGCCGGGGCGGGCGCGUCGGCCGCAGAGGCCGGGGCGACCAGAGACGAGGCGACGACCACGGCGGCUGCGGCCGCGGCGAGGAUCUUGGCCUUCAACUGCCCUGCCAUCUUUCGCUAGCUUCUUUGGAUGGGGAGGCGAUCGACGGAGCGAGGAGCUGAGAAAACAGCGGCAGGAAGCUAAGAACUUGUGGUCGCCGUCGUUGUUUCGAUGGAUUGGUAUAGGAGGAAGAGGCAAGCAUAUAUAGCUGCGAUGCUGCAAGAGUCCGAGUGUGGUUCGUCGGCCGGCUGCGUGCCGCCUGCUGCUGCCUAAUGCUGGGCUGGCGAACGGGAGGACGGACCGGCUGUCGCGUACCUGGCGUGUCGGUUCGGUGUGGGUGAUUGGAAGGUUUCAUCACGAGGCGGGGGUGGUUUUCGGCGCUGGUGCCGGUUGGCGCGCCAGCUGGGUGCCGGACCUGUCGUUGCGUUGGCGCCGC
Molecule: long non-coding RNA, 713 nt
Filed under: Setaria viridis
Lineage: Eukaryota; Viridiplantae; Streptophyta; Magnoliopsida; Poales; Poaceae
Description: long non-coding RNA (SVIR_LNC006098)
Source: RNAcentral